AGUCAGGUGAAUGAAAACAUCCUCUUUCUUCUUCUAAAACUAGGAGACACUGUUUGUAGGAGGCCCAAGACAGUAAACAUGGACGGUAGCCAUUUAUUCAAAGGUUGUCGUUUCUUUUCCAUUUACCCACAAACCCUGGAUGUCAUUUCGAGAGAGAGAGAGAGAGAGAGAGAGAGAGUUGACUUUCUUCCUGUAGACAUGUCCCCUAUUUCCCAGGACUCCAGAGCCCUGUUAAAGAGUCUGAAAGCAGUCAGGUGGAAUAAAAACAUACCCUAUCCACUUAUUAAAGAUAGAAAAAAGAUGUCCCUUCUUUUCCAGGACUCCAGAGCCCUGAGGCUAGUAAGGCAGAAAGAAAACUAGAACCGUAGAACCUGAAAGAGCAGACAGUCCCUGGCAGUGUCAAGGAAGAGGAGGAAGCUGGACAGGAGACAGUCUCUGGCAGUGUACAGGAAGAGGAGAAAGCUGGACAGGAGACAGUCCCUGGCAGUGUACAGGAAGAGGAGAAAGCUGGAGAGGAGACAGUCCCUGGCAGUGUACAGGAAGAGGAGGAAGCUGGAGAGGAGACAGUCCCUGGCAGUGUACAGGAAGAGGAGGAAGCUGGAGAGGAGACAGUCCCUGGCAGUGUACAGGAAGAGGAGAAAGCUGGAGAGGAGACAGUCCCUGGCAGUGUACAGGAAGAGGAGGAAGCUGGAGAGGAGACAGUCCCUGGCAGUGUACAGGAAGAGGAGGAAGCUGGACAGGAGACAGUCCCUGGCAGUGUACAGGAAGAGGAGAAAGCUGGAGAGGAGACAGCCCCUGGCAGUGUACAGGAAGAGGAGGAAGCUGGAGAGGAGACAGUCUCUGGCAGUGUACAGGAAGAGGAGGAAGCUGGAGAGGAGACAGUCUCUGGCAGUGUACAGGAAGAGGAGGAAGCUGGACAGGAGACAGUCCCUGGCAGUGUACAGGAAGAGGAGAAAGCUGGAGAGGAGACAGCCCCUGGCAGUGUACAGGAAGAGGAGGAAGCUGGAGAGGAGACAGACAGUCUCUGGCAGUGUACAGGAAGAGGAGGAAGCUGGAGAGGAGACAGUCCCUGGCAGUGUACAGGAAGAGGAGGAAGCUGGAGAGGAGACAGUCCCUGGCAGUGUACAGGAAGAGGAGGAAGCUGGAGAGGAGACAGUCCCUGGCAGUGUACAGGAAGAGGAGGAAGCUGGAGAGGAGACAGUCCCUGGCAGUGUACAGGAAGAGGAGGAAGCUGGAGAGGAGACAGGAACCUGCAGGUUGAUGUGAGGAGGUUAAACGUGUCUCUUCUAAAGCGGUUCAGAGAGGGGGUAGCUGCUGCUCUGGACAUCUCCCCCAGACACCUCCACAUCAACAGACUCAAUGUAAGACACACACACACACACACACACACACACACACACACACACACACACACACACACACACACACACACACACACACACACACACACACACACACACACACACACACACACACAUUCAACACCCUUUACUGACAAUAGACAUUGAUAAGGAUGACUUUAAACUAGUUUCCACUGAAUACAG
This 1544-nucleotide long non-coding RNA is filed under the name Salmo trutta (river trout). RNAcentral describes it as "lncRNA (ENSSTUG00000032756.1)". The record is from RNAcentral. Lineage: Eukaryota; Metazoa; Chordata; Actinopteri; Salmoniformes; Salmonidae.